UGCAGCUGUGUCAAAUUCAGUGUCUGCCCUGUCCAUGGCAGGCACUGGCCCAGAAGGCUGCCACAGAAACACUGUGACUCAUGGGCCCUGUUCCCUUCACCUGGGCUCAGGGAUAAAUUUGAUCACAGACACUA
Molecule: small nucleolar RNA, 134 nt
Filed under: Castor canadensis (American beaver)
Lineage: Eukaryota; Metazoa; Chordata; Mammalia; Rodentia; Castoridae
Description: Small nucleolar RNA SNORA5 (ENSCCNG00000023542.1)
Rfam family: Small nucleolar RNA SNORA5
About the family: ACA5 is a member of the H/ACA class of snoRNA that guide the sites of modification of uridines to pseudouridines.
Source: Rfam by way of RNAcentral